RNAcentral lists this ribosomal RNA (240 nucleotides) under Enterococcus faecalis. RNAcentral describes it as "partial 16S ribosomal RNA". It matches the Rfam family "Bacterial small subunit ribosomal RNA", at positions 640 to 878 of the family's 1533-position model. Lineage: Bacteria; Bacillati; Bacillota; Bacilli; Lactobacillales; Enterococcaceae. The record is from RNAcentral.
ACUUGAGGGCAGCUGAGGAGAGUGGCAUUCGAUGUGUAGCGGGGAAAUGCGUAGAUAUAUGGAGGACCACCAGUGGCGAAGGCGGCUCUCUGGUCUGUAACUGCCGCUGAGGCUCGAAAGCGUGGGGAGCAAACAGGAUUAGAUACCCUGGUAGUCCACGCCGGAAACGAUGAGUGCUAAGUGUUGGAGGGUUUCCGCCCUUCAGUGCUGCAGCAAACGCAUUAAGCACUCCGCCUGGGG